AGUGAACGCUGGCGGUAGGCCUAACACAUGCAAGUCGAACGGCAGCACAGUAAGAGCUUGCUCUUACGGGUGGCGAGUGGCGGACGGGUGAGGAAUACAUCGGAAUCUACUUUUUCGUGGGGGAUAACGUAGGGAAACUUACGCUAAUACCGCAUACGACCUACGGGUGAAAGCAGGGGAUCUUCGGACCUUGCGCGAUUGAAUGAGCCGAUGUCGGAUUAGCUAGUUGGCGGGGUAAAGGCCCACCAAGGCGACGAUCCGUAGCUGGUCUGAGAGGAUGAUCAGCCACACUGGAACUGAGACACGGUCCAGACUCCUACGGGAGGCAGCAGUGGGGAAUAUUGGACAAUGGGCGCAAGCCUGGUCCAGCCAUACCGCGUGGGUGACGAAGGCCUUCGGGUUGUAAAGCCCUUUUGUUGGGAAAGAAAAGCAGCAGGUUAAUACCCCGCUGUUCUGACGGUACCCAAAGAAUAAGCACCGGCUAACUUCGUG
This 492-nucleotide ribosomal RNA is filed under the name uncultured bacterium. RNAcentral describes it as "partial 16S ribosomal RNA". It matches the Rfam family "Bacterial small subunit ribosomal RNA", at positions 29 to 507 of the family's 1533-position model. The record is from RNAcentral.